AUAGAUGAAGGAGAAGAGAUAAUAUAGAUGU
RNAcentral lists this unclassified non-coding RNA (31 nucleotides) under Leishmania tarentolae. RNAcentral describes it as "gND9XVIIIb". The record is from RNAcentral. Lineage: Eukaryota; Euglenozoa; Kinetoplastea; Trypanosomatida; Trypanosomatidae.